Molecule: ribosomal RNA, 1284 nt
Filed under: metagenome
Description: bacterial SSU rRNA
Rfam family: Bacterial small subunit ribosomal RNA
Source: RNAcentral
UAGCUAGUUGGUGAGGUAAAGGCUUACCAAGGCGACGAUCUGUAGCGGGUCUGAGAGGAUGAUCUGCCACACUGGAACUGAGACACGGUCCAGACUCCUACGGGAGGCAGCAGUGGGGAAUUUUGGACAAUGGGGGCAACCCUGAUCCAGCCAUGCCGCGUGAGUGAAGAAGGCCUUCGGGUUGUAAAGCUCUUUCGGCCGGGAAGAAAUCGCAUGGGCCAAUACCCUGUGUGGAUGACGGUACCGGAAUAAGAAGCACCGGCUAACUACGUGCCAGCAGCCGCGGUAAUACGUAGGGUGCGAGCGUUAAUCGGAAUUACUGGGCGUAAAGCGUGCGCAGGCGGUUUUGUAAGACAGGCGUGAAAUCCCCGGGCUUAACCUGGGAACUGCGUUUGUGACUGCAAGGCUAGAGUACGGCAGAGGGGGGUGGAAUUCCACGUGUAGCAGUGAAAUGCGUAGAGAUGUGGAGGAACACCAAUGGCGAAGGCAGCCCCCUGGGUCGAUACUGACGCUCAUGCACGAAAGCGUGGGUAGCAAACAGGAUUAGAUACCCUGGUAGUCCACGCCCUAAACUGUGUCAACUAGGUGUUGGGUGGGUAAAACCAUUUAGUACCGUAGCUAACGCGUGAAGUUGACCGCCUGGGGAGUACGGCCGCAAGGUUAAAACUCAAAGGAAUUGACGGUUACCCGCACAAGCGGUGGAUGAUGUGGAUUAAUCCGAUGCAACGCGAAAAACCUUACCUACCCUUGACAUGCCAGGAACUUGCCAGAGAUGGCUUGGUGCCCGAAAGGGAGCCUGGACACAGGUGCUGCAUGGCUGUCGUCAGCUCGUGUCGUGAGAUGUUGGGUUAAGUCCCGCAACGAGCGCAACCCUUGUCGUUAAUUGCCAUCAUUUGGUUGGGCACUUUAACGAGACUGCCGGUGACAAACCGGAGGAAGGGGGGGAUGACGUCAAGUCCUCAUGGCCCUUAUGGGUAGGGCUUCACACGUCAUACAAUGGUCGGUACAAAGGGUUGCCAAGCCGCGAGGCGGAGCCAAUCCCAGAAAGCCGAACGUAGUCCGGAUUGCAGGCUGCAACUCGCCUGCAUGAAGUCGGAAUCGCUAGUAAUCGUGGAUCAGCAUGUCACGGUGAAUACGUUCCCGGGUCUUGUACACACCGCCCGUCACCAUGGGAGCGGGUUCCGCCAGAAGUAGGUAGCCUAACCGCAAGGGGGGCGCUUACCACGGCGGGGUUCGUGACUGGGGUGAAGUCGUAACAAGGUAGCCGUAGGGAACCUGCGGCUG